This 273-nucleotide ribosomal RNA is filed under the name uncultured bacterium. RNAcentral describes it as "partial 16S ribosomal RNA". It matches the Rfam family "Bacterial small subunit ribosomal RNA", at positions 524 to 796 of the family's 1533-position model. The record is from RNAcentral.
CACGUAGGGGACGAGCGUUGUCCGGAUUCAUUGGGCGUAAAGAGCGCGUAGGCGGCUCGGAAAGUCGGUUGUGAAAUCCUGGGGCUCAACCCCGGAACUGCGUCCGAUACUUCCGAGCUGGAGGCAGGUAGGGGAGAUCGGAAUUCCUGGUGUAGCGGUGAAAUGCGCAGAUAUCAGGAGGAACACCGGUGGCGAAGGCGGAUCUCUGGGCCUUGCCUGACGCUGAGGCGCGAAAGCUAGGGGAGCGAACAGGAUUAGAAACCCCCGUAGUCC